Molecule: ribosomal RNA, 1308 nt
Filed under: Triticum aestivum (bread wheat)
Lineage: Eukaryota; Viridiplantae; Streptophyta; Magnoliopsida; Poales; Poaceae
Description: partial small subunit ribosomal RNA
Source: RNAcentral
AUGACUAGGAGGUGGGUCAGGCUAUACAAUAUACAUGCGCAAAACCAUAUAUUCAACACCCCCCGCAGUCGAAGCGUCGCCGGAGACGCAAAGACUGGACCUGAACUCCUCGAAGACAGAAGUAGGCAGUCCUUUUGUCAUGACGUCGGCGAACUGCUGCGCCGUCGAGACGUGGAGGACCCGGAUGCGCCCAAGAGCCACCUGCUCACAAACGAAGUGUAUAUCGAGCUCAAUAUGCUUCGUUCGACGAUGGUGGACCGGGUUGGCGGAGAGGUAGACGGUGGAGACGUUGUCGCAGUAGACGAGCGUGGCCUUGUGAACAUCACAAAGCAACUCCUGGAGCGGCUGACGAAGCCAAGAGCAUUCAGCAACGGCGUUAGCCACUGCUCGAUACUCAGCCUCGGCACUCGAGCGGGAGACGGUGGACUGUCGCUUGGAGGACCAAGAGAUCAGGGACGGCCCAAGGUAGACACAGUACCCCGAGGUGGAGCGCCGUGUGUCUGGGCAGCCGGCCCAGUCCGCAUCAGAGUAGGCGACGAGGUCGGUGGAGGCGGAGGCCGUCAGCGUAAGUCCCAAGGACUGGGUGCCGCGUAUGUAUCGGAGGAUACGCUUCACCAGAGUCCAGCGAGAGUCGCACAGAGCAUGCAUGUGAAGACAGGCCUGCUGAACAGCAUACUGCAAGUCGGGGCGCGUCAGGGUCAGGUACUGCAAGGCGCCCACAAUGGAGCGGUAGAAUGCUGCAUCAGAUGCAGGCGAACCCUCCAAAGCGGAAACCUUGGCCUUGGUGUCGACGGGCGUGGGAGCGGGCUUGCAGUUAAGCAUGCCAGCUCGGUCGAGAAGCUCAUGGGCAUAGCGCUGCUGAUGCAGGAAGAACCCAUCUGGCCGCCGAACCACCUCAAUGCCAAGGAAGUAAUGCAGAGGACCCAAGUCCUUCAGGGCAAACUCAUCGCAAAGAUGAGCAGUGAGCCGCUGAAGAAGCGCGACCGUGGAUGCCGUCAGAAUGAUGUCAUCGACAUACAGCAGCAAGUAGGCCGUGUCAACUCCAUGAUGAUACACGAAGAGGGACGCAUCGGAGCGAGUCGAUGUAAAUCCGAGCGUCUGCAGGAAGGUGGCAAUGCGCUGGUACCAGGCCCGAGGUGCCUGCUUCAACCCGUAAAGAGAACGGGAGAGCAAGCACACAUGAUCUGGAUGCAUGGCGUCGACGAAGCCGGUGGGCUGCUCACAGAACACCUGCUCAGCCAGGUGGCCGUGCAAGAAGGCGUUGGACACGUCCAACUGAUGCACAGGCCAAGUUCGGGACACGGCUAG